Molecule: ribosomal RNA, 439 nt
Filed under: uncultured bacterium
Lineage: Bacteria
Description: bacterial SSU rRNA
Rfam family: Bacterial small subunit ribosomal RNA
Source: RNAcentral
UACGGGAGGCAGCAGUGGGGAAUAUUGCACAAUGGGCGCAAGCCUGAUGCAGCCAUGCCGCGUGUAUGAAGAAGGCCUUCGGGUUGUAAAGUACUUUCAGUCGUGAGGAAGGUGUUAAGGUUAAUAACCUUAGCAAUUGACGUUAGCGACAGAAGAAGCACCGGCUAACUCCGUGCCAGCAGCCGCGGUAAUACGGAGGGUGCGAGCGUUAAUCGGAAUUACUGGGCGUAAAGGGCACGCAGGCGGUUAAUUAAGUUGGAUGUGAAAUCCCCGGGCUUAACCUGGGAAUGGCAUUCAAGCUGGUUAGCUAGAGUCUUGUAGAGGGGGUAGAAUUCCAUGUGUAGCGGUGAAAUGCGUAGAGAUGUGGAGGAAUACCGGUGGCGAAGGCGGCCCCUGGACAAAGGACUGACGCUCAUGUGCGAAAGCGUGGGGAGCAAAC